UUACAAUCUUCCAUAACCCAACAAUUUAUUUAAACUUACAUCACAAGGAGAAUCUAUUAAUAAAAUACAUCAGUUCACACCAGUCUGCAUUGCCAUUUUUUAAGGGUAAGCAUCUUUCUUCACUUUAUAUUAAAACUUUAUAGAGGUAAAAACUACUGCAUUGUACCGGCAGUUCUGGAAAUCUAGUGUAACAUCAGGCAGGUUACAGAGGAACUUUCAGAGCUAAUUACACUUCAGUUAACCUCACAUUUUUGGCACAUCUGAAUGCUUUUUAUUUUCUUCUUAACAUAAAAUAACUCUAUAGCAAGUCAGAGAAUCAUUGACAUAAAAGCAUCACUAUCCAAUGGCAAGUGCUGCCUAAAAGCAUACAAAAAUUGCAUCAUUUGGUUACAAAAUAGAUACUCUUAGUUCUUUACCCCAAGGCUUAACAUCGAAGUGCUGCGACAGAAAAGGGCCAGGAUCAGGGCCAGCCUUGCUGAGCUGCUGCUGGUCACUUUGCUGCAAGGCUUUGCUUCCCUAAAUCCCAGAGUGAUGUGCUAACAAGGUGCCGGUGGCUUUCGCCUUGCCAGUGGAGGCUCCUACAGCACCCUCCCGCAGGAGAGAGGCCACCAGUCCAUGUCACCUCCUCCUCACACGUGCUGCUCGAGGGACACGGUGCACACACGGCGAUGGAGGUGCUCAGGAGGGGCCGUGUUCCUGCACCGGUGGCCUCGGCAGUGUGGUGGCUGCGGGUCCUGCGGUGGAGCGCACAGAGCUGCUGCUCCGGCCGGGCUGCUCCUGCCUGGCACCGCAGCAGCUGCCGCCGGGCAAGUGUUCUAAGCAGGAACAAAACACUAAUGGUAGUGGUGUGCCAGGCACGUAUUUGCACAAGUAUCUGCAGUACUUUCACCAGUUUUUAACACCUGCAUGUUGUGGGUUUGGGGGCUUUUUGUUGUACACCACAAACUCCAGCCACUGGGAGCUUCUGAUGUUCUAUCCAAAGUAAAAAGCAGCCCUUGGUACUUGCAGCCGGGGUUAGUUUCUCCCUGGCUCUUGAGCUGUACUGUUUCAGUCAGUUUGGCACAUAAACUAGUGAUUGGUUUAUGUUUUACCGGUGGCAGGCUCCACACGCUGCUAUUUAUUUAGUGAGAUGGCUAUUGUCUUGGUUCUGUCCCUUCUGCUCAUGUUGCUCUGGUAGAAACAAAGAAAUAGGAGUGAAUUGCUGCAGUUCAGGAGAGAUUGAUGUAGCAGAAGAAGCACUUCCGAGCUUUCUGGUUGCAGGAGAGCUGGAUGGUCACUUUUCUUUAAAGGGAAAUAAACGCUGAUGGUGGCAGGGCUGCAUUCUGUGCGUCUUCCCAAAGCUCUGGUCAAACAAAAUCUCUUUUUUUCUUGAUUCAACUCUCGUACUCCUCCUUUGCUGAAGCCCCUCAUCUGAAAUCCUUUUUGCUGAGGCCAGUGAGCACUCCCAAAAAGAGCUCAGGGCUGCUAGGAAUCCUCUCUGUCUACCUCUCCUAGAGAAACAGAAGAAAGGACCAGAAUACUUGCUGUGUUAGGGAAAGAAAGAAAGUACACUGAUAGUGGACCGGUUGUUGAUGGGAUGUUUGAAACUCACAGAAGAGAAACAUCAAGGUAUCCAUGGUACUCUUUGCACGUAACUUACUGACCCUGAAAGGUGGC
This is a long non-coding RNA of Strigops habroptila (Kakapo), 1656 nucleotides long. Lineage: Eukaryota; Metazoa; Chordata; Aves; Psittaciformes; Psittacidae. The record is from Ensembl.